UCGACUCUAACAACCAUGACUUGACUCUAUAUCUGACGAAGCGAGAAGGAGAACGGAGAAGAAGACCUCUGUGUCGGGCUGAGGCACGGGAGCAUGAUCUCCGACUUGAUGAUGGCCAUGGUCAGCUCACUCAACUGGAUGGGCUCGCUGAACCUUUAAGAAUAGCCGAGACAGAACGGUGAUCAUCUUGAAUCUAAGCAACUGGUGUGUCGUCCACGGCCGGCAGCUACUAACAAAAAUGACCUCAUAAGCUUCGCAAGGAAAAACGAUGGAAAAGU
Molecule: long non-coding RNA, 278 nt
Filed under: Setaria viridis
Lineage: Eukaryota; Viridiplantae; Streptophyta; Magnoliopsida; Poales; Poaceae
Description: long non-coding RNA (SVIR_LNC003841)
Source: RNAcentral